Molecule: long non-coding RNA, 1485 nt
Organism: Mauremys mutica (yellowpond turtle)
Lineage: Eukaryota; Metazoa; Chordata; Testudines; Geoemydidae
Exons: 4
Source: RefSeq, a predicted model, not a curated record
GCAGGGAAAAACACAGAGCACCAGGAUCCUGAAGGAGCAGACCCACCUACUGUAGGCAAAGAGAAACAAUCCAAUGAACUGAUGGAAGAACUUCUGGAUAAAAUAAAUCAGCAGACAGAGUUCCAGAAUGACCAAAUAUUCUACCACCAGCUGGUCUUCAGCAUGGGAUGAAGUAAGGAAGAACUAUUCCAAAACUCUCAACAUACUGCAAUGUUCCAACUAGAAUGGAUUUUUCAUCAGAGACUUCUGUAAUUUUCUGGAAACAGCUUUCUAGAAGCGAACACCACCAUCCUUCUUGAAUAAAAAAAGUCAGCAAGGGAGCCUCCUUCUCAGCAUUAUCUCAGUCUGCAGAAGUAUAAGAAGGAAAGACGUCUGACAGGAAGCCCAAGAGAAAGCUUCCAUCUGCUGGGGCUUCUGAUUUUCUCAACAGAGCCCCUGCCCUCUAUAGCCACGUAUCUGUGAGAAAUCAGGGUUGGACAAAGCCUCCCUUUGGCUUUCCACGGCAGCGUCAGGAAAUGAAACCAUUGAAGAUGAGACGGAGAGAGAGAGAGAAUCAGUAGUCUGGCUAAUACCUAGAAGCACAUGAUGCCUGGCACCAAAGGACAUGCUGAGGAGCGCACGUAUCAGCACAAAAACCCUGGGUAAUUUAAUAACUGGCCCAGAAUUUGCUGACUGCUUGUUAAUUACUUGAACAAUCCCAAAUUGUCUGACCAAAAACCUACCCGAUGACUCCUCAGCUGUUAGUCCCAGAUGACUAAUAGCAACAGUACUUGUAAUAGUUCCAGGAAUGUAUUUGUACUGCCUUUGCUUUUCCACAACUCUAGCCAAGCUUCUACACACCAAGAACCCUGAAACAUAAAGCCAAAACCUCUCCCUUCUGAUACACUCAUAAACAACUUUGGCUGUUGAUUUAAAUGCAGCAUCCCCUGAAAUACUCCAGAAGAGGUACUCUUAACAGAAGGAGACUAUGAUAGAAGUGUUCUUAACCUAUUGAAGAAAUAUGGCUUCUCAGUUGUUAUUAUUAAAGCAGGUAAGGUGGAAAGGGAGAGGUACAAAACCACAGCCUCUGUGAGGAAGAUCCUACAGGCAAUAUUCUGAAAAUCCAGCAAUGAGAGAAAUUAUAGGUUUCUCUUUUCGGCCCCACAUACCUAUGUCAGUAAUUGCUUAAUGAUAUGGAUCGAUUUCAGGAAUGCAGGCUAGAUAUUUUUUCUGAACUGAAUGACUAGAAGUGACAUAAUUACAUUUGUAUCCUUUCUGAAAGUUGUUUCUCUUUAGAAACUUACACUUGCUCUUGGUAUGUAAGAGUCCUCAAUGAUUUUGCAAACAGAAUACAAAUAGACAAGGAGCCUUUUCAGAUGUUUGUAACCUGCAACAAUCUUACCGUUUGUGUUGUCAUUUAAGAUCCCUAACAAGUUACAUUAACUUUUUUGGCCCUCAAGUACCAUUCAAGCAUUGACAUUAGUCAUAUUCUGAGCUUUGUAUACA